UACGUAGGGACCAAGCGUUGUCCGGAAUCAUUGGGCGUAAAGAGCGUGUAGGCGGCUUGUUAAGUCUUGCGUGAAAUCUCGGGGCUCAACCCCGAGCGGUCGUGAGAAACUGGCAGGCUAGAGUGCGGGAGAGGAGAGUGGAAUUCCUGGUGAGCGGUGAAAUGCGCAGAUAUCAGGAAGAACACCCGUGGCGAAGGCGGCUCCUCUGGAACGGUACUGACGCUGAGACGCGAAAGCGUGGGGAGCGAACAGG
Molecule: ribosomal RNA, 253 nt
Filed under: uncultured bacterium
Lineage: Bacteria
Description: partial 16S ribosomal RNA
Rfam family: Bacterial small subunit ribosomal RNA
Source: RNAcentral